Molecule: long non-coding RNA, 2638 nt
Organism: Ictalurus punctatus (channel catfish)
Lineage: Eukaryota; Metazoa; Chordata; Actinopteri; Siluriformes; Ictaluridae
Source: Ensembl
UGACCAAUCACCAGGCAGGAAUGUGCUUAAGGAAAUGUUCUGUUUCCUGAAAGCUGAGUUUCCUCCCAUCCACUGAGCUCCAGACCUGGCUGUUACUGACUUUUCAGAUGGUCUCUACAUCCAGGAGGUGGUUAUAGCAUGAACACUCAAGAGCUGGGCUUUGUUUUGAAUCCUGGAGUCCACAACUGAAGCAGAUGCUCUGCUACGUUUGACUGCUCCAGCCUCUACAGAGACACCAGUCUGCACCGAUGUGUCCUCUGUAGUCUAUCUGUAGUGGAAACAGCCAUGCCGACUGAAUCAGUCACUGAAGCGACUGCUAUACAGUUUCCCACACAGUCCGUGGAGAGUUCUGAUGGCCUGAUAUCUCAGCACAUAGAACAAGUGCCAUCCGCCGAGGGUCCACCAUCUGACAGCUGUAAGACGGCUGUUUCCCAGGCUUGCUGGGAAGUAAACGUGGCCUUUAUGCUUGUGGUUCUCGCCGGGUUCCUCAUCUUGGCUCUGUUUUACUGCGUCCUUCACCUGUGGCACAAACUGCGUUUGGCUCAGGCAGGAAAUGCUUUAGAGUACUUUGGAUUCUACCACAUGGCAAACUACAGCUUGAAACACCAACAUGAACCAGCAAGUUUACCUUCAGUGAAUACUGAUCCCCCUGUUCAGGUGCCUCCUUGUUAUCCACCUCAAACUGUGGUUCCUGAAAAUAGUCAUCCGGUCAUCCCUCCACUCCUCCCUCCACCACCUCUACUUUCAUCUCGACCACCCUCCGCCGUGCCUCUGCCGCACCCCAUCAUCUACACUACCCCACCCAGUCCGCAGUCUGACGCAGAGGUAUAUUCCCGCAUAGGCACUCUGCGGCCCUCCAGGCACUCGAGCGUGAGUCAGACACAGGUGGUUCUCUUUGAACACUCGUCCCUGUGACCCCCUCGGAAAAGAACUCUGUCCUCUGAACACUCGUCCCUGUGACCCCCUCGGAAAAGAACUCUGUCCUCUGUCUCUUCCAUCACAGCAUUUGCUAAGAGACUGCCUUUCACAGUCUAGUGAUUCUGUCAACUUUCAUGUCAUGUUUUUUUUUUUCUUGCAUCCUCGGAUGUAGCCUGUGGUACUACUCCAUCUCAUCCAUCUUCACAUGGGCAGAACAAUAUGUUGAGGCUGUUUUGACCGUUUAUAGUAUCAUUUUCAAUCUACAUGUAUUUGCUUCUUUAGAUUUGCACUAAAGCUAUGAAGGUUCUAACAGAUAACUUUCCAGUUUAGCACUGCCAUAUUAUAUUCCUUAAUAUCAUCACACUCACCUCAAACAGUUCUGAGACCACAUUUGUACUUUAGAGGAGAUAAUACAGAUAAUAUGUAGGGAAUAUGAGAUGUGCUUUUAUAGGAAAAUAAUGAAGGACAAUAUAGUAUAGGAUGAUAUGGACCGGGCGCACGGUGGCUUCCCACCAUGGCCCUGUGUGUGUGGAGUUUGCAUGUUCUCCCCAUGCUGCGGGGGUUUCCUCCGGGUACACCGGUUUCCUCCCCGAGUCCAAAGACAUGCCUGGUAGGAUGAUCUAAAGUGUCCGUAGUGUAUGAAUGGGUGUGUGAAUGUGAAUGUUUACGUGAGUGUGCCCUACGAUGGAUUGGCACCCCAUCCAGGGUGUACCGUGCCUUGUACCCCAUGAUCCCUGGGAUAGGCUCCAGGCUCCCCACGACCCAGUAGAAUAAGCGGUAUAGAAAAUGGAUGGAUGAUAUGGACCGAUGCAAAGUAAAUUAUUUUCCUGUAACAGCACAUCCCAGAGUGUUUUCUCCUCUUAUACCACAGCAAUUUGCAAACAACUGUAUUUUUGUAUUAAUUAACUUAUGUUACAGCAGCUAUAUGCAAGUGUUCUUUCACCAACCUCUCCCCCCCACCCCCCUCUCUUGUAGUUAAUAAGACAAAACAAAACCCACAGCUUUUACAGAUAAACUGCAAAGUGUAAACUCCUGUCCUGAAGAUUUUGACAUGGUGCACCUUCCAUAAAUAAAAAUCUCCUAAGAGAAAUCUCAAUGAUUAUACAUUUUUUUCAUCCGUUUAUUUUUAGUCUUAGAUUACGUAGAGCGUAUCUGCUAUACAAUCCCCUGUGCAUGAGCUGUUACCAUAGAGAUGUAUAGCAUUGGAAUGAGUGUAUUGAUAUAAACCUGUGAUGUAGAGCUGCACUACUGUCAGAACUACUAUCAUCAGGGCAAAUAGUGCAUGUUUUUGUAACUAGUACUCCUUUUUUAAAGUAUUAUAAGUUGUAGUCAGAGAUGUCAUAUUCAUACAGUGAUUCGUUCUGUAUGAUAUUAGAUUGUUUCGACAUGAUUGCUAGGCUCAGUGGCUAUAUUCCUUUUGAAGGCAUUAAUCCUGAUUUUGUUUUUGCUCCAGCAUGUUCCUCUUAUUUCCUUUGUUGCUCUGGCUUUCCUUCAUAGGGUGGGAUUUCCUGGACAGUUUUUCCACUGCAUUUGUUUUUUUUUUCUCCAACUUCCUCUCUUCUGUCUUAAAGGAGAAGUUCAGCCAAAAUCCCAGACCAUAUUAAAAAUGCUCUCUCUAUAUACAUUUCACUAUUGUUACUAAAUACAGUGCCCUCCACUAAUAUUGGCACCCUUGGUAAAUAUGAGCAAAGAAGGCUGUGAAAAAUUAUCUUUAUUGUUU